This 1111-nucleotide ribosomal RNA is filed under the name Bacillus sp. (in: firmicutes). Its description in RNAcentral is "bacterial SSU rRNA". It matches the Rfam family "Bacterial small subunit ribosomal RNA", at positions 148 to 1234 of the family's 1533-position model. Lineage: Bacteria; Bacillati; Bacillota; Bacilli; Caryophanales; Bacillaceae. The record is from RNAcentral.
UCCGGGAAACCGGAGCUAAUACCGGGUAACACCAAAGACCGCAUGGUCUUCGGUUGAAAGGCGGCUUCGGCUGUCACUUGCGGAUGGGCCCGCGGCGCAUUAGCUAGUUGGUGAGGUAACGGCUCACCAAGGCGACGAUGCGUAACCGGCCUGAGAGGGUGACCGGACACUCUGGGACUGAGACACGGCCCAUACUCCUACGGGAUGCCGCAGUAUGGAAUCUUCCGCAAUGAGACGAUAGUCUGACGGUAGCGACGCCGCGUGAAGCGAAAGAAAGGCCUUCGGGUCGUAAAGCUCUGUUGUGAGGGACGAAGGAGCGCCGUUUGAAUAAGGCGGCGCGGUGACGGUACCUCACGAGAAAGCCCCGGCUAACUACUUGCCAGCAGCCGCGGUAAUUCGUAGGGGGCGACCGUUGUCCGGAAUUAUUGGGCGUAAAGCGCGCGCAGGCGGUCCUUUAAGUCUGAUGUGAAAGCCCACGGCUCAACCGUGGAGGGUCAUUGGAAACUGGGGGACUUGAGUGCAGGAGAGGAGAGCGGAAUUCCACGUGUAGCGGUGAAGUGCGUAGAGAUGUGGAGGAACACCAGUGGCGAAGGCGGCUCUCUGGCCUGUAAGUGACGAUGAGGCGCGAAAGCGUGGGGAGCAAACAGGAUUAGAUAACCCUGGUAGUCCACGCCGUAAAACGAUGAGUGCUAAGUGUUAGAGGGGUCACACCCUUUAGUGCUGCAGCUAACGCGAUAAGCACUCCGCCUGGGGAGUACGGCCGCAAGGCUGAAACUCAAAGGAAUUGACGGGGGCCCGCACAAGCGGUGGAGCAUGUGGUUUAAUUCCAAGCAACGCGAAGAACCUUACCAGGUCUUGACAUCCCCUGACAACCCAAGAGAUUGGGCGUUCCCCCUUCGGGGGGACAGGGUGACAGGUGGUGCAUGGUUGUCGUCAGCUCGUGUCGUGAGAUGUUGGGUUAAGUCCCGCAACGAGCGCAACCCUUGCCUCUAGUUGCCAGCAUUCAGUUGGGCACUCUAGAGGGACUGCCGGCUAAAAGUCGGAGGAAGGUGGGGAUGACGUCAAAUCAUCAUGCCCCUUAUGACCUGGGCUACACACGUGCUACAAUGGG